RNAcentral lists this ribosomal RNA (460 nucleotides) under uncultured bacterium. RNAcentral's name for it is "partial 16S ribosomal RNA". It matches the Rfam family "Bacterial small subunit ribosomal RNA", at positions 338 to 795 of the family's 1533-position model. The record is from RNAcentral.
CCUACGGGAGGCAGCAGUGAGGAAUAUUGGUCAAUGGACGAAAGUCUGAACCAGCCAAGUAGCGUGAAGGAUGACUGCCCUAUGGGUUGUAAACUUCUUUUAUAAAGGAAUAAAACGAGGCACGUGUGCCUUUUUGCAUGUACUUUAUGAAUAAGGAUCGGCUAACUCCGUGCCAGCAGCCGCGGUAAUACGGAGGAUCCGAGCGUUAUCCGGUUUUAUUGGGUUUAAGGGGAGCGUGGAUGGGUUGUUAAGUCAGUUUUGAAAGUUUGCGGUUAAACCGUAAAAUUGCAAUUGAUACUGGCAGUCUGGAGUGCAGAUGAGGUAGGCGGAAUUCGUGGUGUAGCGGUGAAAUGCUUAGAUAUCACGAAGAACCCCGAUUGCGAAGGCAGCUUACUAAACUGUGACUGACAUUGAUGCUCGAAAGUGUGGGUAUCAAACAGGAUUAGAUACCCUAGUAGUC